UAAAAACGCUUGCAAAUUUGAGAUUAUAAUGUAUACCUUUAUGCCACUGACAACAAUAUGACACUUUAAUUGUACAAUCAUCAUUUAUAUAAGCAUAAUCAUAUGGACAAUAACUAUUCCAUCCCGACAAUAUUCAACCAUGCAAACAAAAACUAUCAGGGUUACACAACUCGUCCAUCUGUACAAUAUUCAACCGUGUAACCAUGCAAACAAAAACUACUAGCCAAUCAUACAAGUCAGACCAUGACCAUCGCACAAGAAUAAACAGAUCUAGUUCUGAUCAUGGAAGAUGCACAAGUCAUUCGCCAUCCUUAUCCUCUUCUCCAUUCAGAUCCAUGUCCACUUCUUGGUCUUCUUAAUUACAAAUUUACAAGUGCAGAUAGUUGACUGAAUUACCACUGCAAAAAAAGUAACAAACUUAUGGUAUUUGACUAAAUUACAAGUGCCGUUAGUUGAUUUGUUUGCUAGUAAACUGAACUCAUUGAUACAAUACAAAAGAAAUUGCAAGCAAACUGAAUUUGCAACUGCCAGUAGCCCAGUACAAAAUAAAAUUACGACUAGACUGAAUUUGUCUACCGUAACUGAAUUUAUAAUUUGCUACCAAUGAGAUUAUGAACUAUUCUACGAUCUGAGCUCCUCCUAAUUUUGUCUACUGUAACUCCAAGUGCUACUGCUACCAUGAGGAAUUUUUUCUAUUAAGUACUGACUACUAGUACUAAGUUAUGCAUCGAAUAGACUAAUUGUAACUCUGUAAGUGCAUCGAUCAGAGAAAAGGCAAGUGCAUCGAAUGGAUUAAGCCUACUACGGUAACUCUAAGUGCAUCGAUCAGAGAAAAGCUGAGCUACCGGAUGUACUAUGGGCGAUUAGUAGAAACAAAGAUCAGAGAAAAGGUUAGCAGCCCGACUAAAGAGGUAGUUGAGCGAGGAGGUGCGGACCUUCUGGAUAGGGACAUCGACGAGUAGGGCGUCAAUCAGGGACCAGAGAGGGGACGUGGGCAUUGAGCUUGAGCGCCGCCGUCCCAGUGAGGUACUGCCCGCUGGCUCGCCGUGUUAUCCCGCACCGGCUUGUCGUCGACCAUGGAAGGGCGUUGAGCAGGAGCGAGGAGGUGGCCGUCGUGCUGGCUGCUCCCUCAAAGACCGGCAGGGGAAGAGGGGGCUAGGGUAGCAGCGGCAUCGGGUGAUGGUGAGCCUGGAUUUGCCUCUCCGUCCGGCCUCCGGCGUU
Molecule: long non-coding RNA, 1221 nt
Filed under: Triticum aestivum (bread wheat)
Lineage: Eukaryota; Viridiplantae; Streptophyta; Magnoliopsida; Poales; Poaceae
Description: long non-coding RNA (TAES_LNC012421)
Source: RNAcentral